Monodelphis domestica (gray short-tailed opossum) is the source of this 1022-nucleotide long non-coding RNA. RefSeq lists it as uncharacterized. The record is from RefSeq and is a predicted model, not a curated record. Lineage: Eukaryota; Metazoa; Chordata; Mammalia; Didelphimorphia; Didelphidae.
UACUGAACAGUAAAACAAGAUAACUGCUUUUUGUAACUGAAAAAGUAGUAGGAUUUAAGUUCAUACUCGAAAGGCUCCUCAAAAGUAUCCUCAGUACAAGUCCAAUACAAAUAUCACAACAGGGAUGUCUUGCACCUUAUCCUGUUCCCACAUGGUUUAGAUCUACUCUAAUACAUCCCUAUAUCUUGAAAACUGAUUGAAGAGGACAGAGUGACUACCAUCUGAAGCCCUACCCAGGGCAAGGCCAGAUCUCUACCCUGUUCUGAGGUUUUCACAUCUUUCCCAGGAAGGUCUGAAGACUGCCAGGCAGCCAGGUUCCAGGUUUCUCAGCCAAAUAAUGCCAUGGAGUGGUCGCAUCUGUCUCUGUCCAAUUGGACAGUGUGAUAGAGACACAAAGAAAGUUCCAAUUCAACAUGCUUGAUACCAAGAGGGAAAGGAGAGAAAUACCACGUAGUCAAGGAUUUCAACAUCUGAUUGGUCACCCUAAAGAGCAUGUCCACCAAUCUGUACAGAUGGGCAAUGAGCUGGAUGCAGAGUUCAAAAGAAGAGUGAACCAUGUUGUUUUCAGGAAAUUGCAAAGCUCUUUUACUGACUCCAAGCUUUCUGUGAAAACAAGAUCCCACCGGAAGAUUCUCACACUGACUGAUGUGAGAUGCUGAACACCACUAUCUCUGAAGAGCAUCACAUCCAUCACAGAGAGAUCAUGGUCGCAACUGAAGCAACUGAAGCAGCAGAAAAACAAAGUGGGCUGAGGCAACAUUCCAUUCACAUAGUUCUGGACCCUUACAAAGAAGUAUAUGAGGUGCCUUCUUAUGUUCUCUCUUUGGGGUCGUGCCUGGUCAUUAUAGUCCCAUAGCAUUUAGUUUCAUCCUUGUUCUUUUCAUUGACAGUGCCAUAGUCACAUUUAUUGUUCUUAUUUCUGCUUACUUCCCUUUCCUUUAGUUUAUAUAUGUAUUCUAAUGCUUCUGUUAUAAACAUAUUCAUUGCUUCUUAGAGUCAAUCAAUAUUUUAUUACAUUCUUA